AACACUAUACUUACGGGGAUCGUUUUUUAUAGUUCUUAACGAAAGAAUGUGUUUUGUAAGUGUUGUGUCUUUCAAACUGCGAUAAUGCGCUUUAAUGCUGUUAUCGGAGCGUGAAUCAGAUAUAGAAUAAUGAAUUGUUUCACAUGCUUUACAUCACUGAUGAACGUUUCUUAUUGCGUUUUUGCAAUGAGGAGGAGAAGAGUAUGAUCGGAGUGGU
This 217-nucleotide small nucleolar RNA is filed under the name Sinocyclocheilus rhinocerous. RNAcentral describes it as "Small nucleolar RNA U3 (ENSSRHG00000006001.1)". It matches the Rfam family "Small nucleolar RNA U3". Rfam says of the family: Small nucleolar RNAs (snoRNAs) are involved in the processing and modification of rRNA in the nucleolus. There are two main classes of snoRNAs: the box C/D class, and the box H/ACA class. The record is from Rfam by way of RNAcentral. Lineage: Eukaryota; Metazoa; Chordata; Actinopteri; Cypriniformes; Cyprinidae.